This 976-nucleotide long non-coding RNA is filed under the name Astyanax mexicanus (Mexican tetra). Its description in RNAcentral is "lncRNA (ENSAMXG00005011284.1)". The record is from RNAcentral. Lineage: Eukaryota; Metazoa; Chordata; Actinopteri; Characiformes; Acestrorhamphidae.
AGAAUGCAGACACGUGCAGAUACUGAUAAAAAUGUGUUUAUUAUAAAAUAAACAGAUGUAAGACGUAGUCGAUACAGAAAAAUGGGUAAUCACCAAUAACCAGAGCAAUGAAGACAAAACCAUACCAUAAACGAGAGACAGUCCAGAGUUCAUACACGAGAUAUCCAAUGUCAGAGGUAAUCCAAGAGGCAGUAGUGAAAACACAGUCCAGGUAAUACACAAGCAAUCCAAUAUCAGAAGCAAAGGCAAUAAUCGGCGUCGAGAAAACAAAGGCAAGGUCAUACACAAGAUAAACUGAGACAAGAGAUAUAGAACGCUUUGUAAUGAGGAGAACCUACAAUACGCGGCGUGGGUGUUUGUGUGGAGUGCUCUUUUACUGUGCUCUUGCCAGUAAUCAGUAUUCGGGACUUCCUGGAGGAAGCAGGUGAGGUGUCACGUGAUCAGGUGAGUGCGUGAUGUCAGCGGGUGGUGCAUUCUGGGUAGUGUAGUUGUUGACCUGAGAACCUCCGUUAGAGCUGGGUGUGGAAGGGACAAAGGAGCUAACAGCACCAGACGUGACAAGGACAGUGCACAGCUUCAUUGUGAACUACAGACAGUUUUGGUUACAAACAGCAAAAUUACAAAGAUCUACCAGUCCUGUCAUCCCCCUCACCCUGUGAUGUUGUCUGUGUGUGUUUGGGGGUGUACGUGUGUGUGUGUGUGUGUGUGUGUGUCAUGGAAUCCACAAUCUACCUCAGCACAUGAGCUGUAAUAGGAAGGGUGUGGGGAUCUUCCUGUCUCUGUUUCUAUGGAAACACCACCCCCAUCUGCCAACCAGGAGGAGGGACAGAGGUUCCAAAAUGCAAGCUGUCAUGUGUGUUCGGAAUCCCUCCUUCUCACAUCCCAGGACAGACUUUCAGAGGCAGGGCUUGUUUCUCCAUGCAGUCGACUGGAACAGUUCAAGGCUUAAAGGUCCUGGAUGUGCUCUUGCUCUUUC